GGCCUCGUGGCUUAGUCGGGAAAACACCUGACUAUGGUGCGGUAGGAUUCGAGUUCGAGCCCCGGUGAAGGCCA
Non-coding RNA from Henosepilachna vigintioctopunctata, 74 nucleotides. Lineage: Eukaryota; Metazoa; Arthropoda; Insecta; Coleoptera; Coccinellidae. The record is from the annotation of a GenBank genome assembly.